Molecule: non-coding RNA, 45 nt
Filed under: Trichobilharzia regenti
Lineage: Eukaryota; Metazoa; Platyhelminthes; Trematoda; Strigeidida; Schistosomatidae
Source: RNAcentral
AUCCAGAUGACGAGUCCGAAAUAGGACGAAACGCGCAUCCUUGAU